RNAcentral lists this small RNA (78 nucleotides) under Ictidomys tridecemlineatus (thirteen-lined ground squirrel). RNAcentral's name for it is "ZNFX1 antisense RNA 1 conserved region 2 (ENSSTOG00000032026.1)". The record is from RNAcentral. Lineage: Eukaryota; Metazoa; Chordata; Mammalia; Rodentia; Sciuridae.
AUUGGAUUCAGAAUGGAUGUUGCAAGACGGGCUCACCUCUGGGCUUCUACGGGAACCCCACUUUCUAUCUUCGGAGCU